ACCUCAAUGUACCUAUUUUAUUAGGAAGAAACUGUAUUCCCUAUUUUUCUAAUUUCGUCGGCUCGAGUCGAGAAGUAGACGAAUUGCAGCUGCCAGAAGCCGCGGACACGAGGCAGUCAUUAGAAACCUCACCAAAUUUGCAGUGGCAGCCUUUGGUCAAUGUGGCCACACGGUGAUGAACAGCAGCCAUGUGCUCCUCAGUGUCCCACUGCACCGAUACUACUCCUUCACGCAGCAGCCAACCAUGGUCUUCCAGGCGAGGGUACACAAUGCUUGACGUUGGUGCCUGCUUCCAAACUUUCAGUACCCAUUGCGAGCGCUUCCAGUGUAUGUCCGUGGCAAGCUUGUCGUGUGACAUUGCUGCGCAUCGCUGGGCGGAAAGAGCAUCAUGCAAGGCCUGUUGCGUGUUGCACCCUCUCCGUAGCAACAGGAUACCACGUUUUUUCACAUUCGGGUAUACAACUUCAAUGUGCUCUGCCAACACUUCCAUUA
This is a long non-coding RNA of Sycon ciliatum, 492 nucleotides long. RefSeq lists it as uncharacterized. NCBI's taxonomy places the organism in Eukaryota, Metazoa, Porifera, Calcarea, Leucosolenida, Sycettidae. The transcript is spliced from 3 exons. The record is from RefSeq and is a predicted model, not a curated record.